GUCAUGUGUGAAAGGGGAGAAAGUUAGUUCUCCCCCUGAUAGAGAGAAAAGAGGUUCUGGUGACCUUUAAAUCUUAUACAAUUAAAACAGCAUUGCUUACUCGGUGGCAUCAAGCCAUGUUUUCUU
This is a small nuclear RNA of Monodelphis domestica (gray short-tailed opossum), 126 nucleotides long. The record is from Ensembl. NCBI's taxonomy places the organism in Eukaryota, Metazoa, Chordata, Mammalia, Didelphimorphia, Didelphidae.